CAUACACCAGAAAUAAUCUCCUUGUCAUUUGGAUCAGGGAUUAUUUGUUAGAAGACAACUACACCACUUGGCAAGACAAAAAGGACAGUGUCCUCUUUACAUUCAAACUCCAUGUGCCAAUAGAAAAAACUAAUAGGACGAUCAACCCAUGAUGUAUUUCUCUCCUACCAUCACAUGGUUUUGCAUCACUCAAAUCUUCAUUCAGAACUACA
This is a long non-coding RNA of Hibiscus syriacus, 212 nucleotides long. RefSeq lists it as uncharacterized. Lineage: Eukaryota; Viridiplantae; Streptophyta; Magnoliopsida; Malvales; Malvaceae. The record is from RefSeq and is a predicted model, not a curated record. The transcript is spliced from 2 exons.